CCUACGGGGGGCUGCAGUGGGGAAUAUUGCGCAAUGGGGGCAACCCUGACGCAGCAACGCCGCGUGAUUGAUGAAGGUCUUCGGAUUGUAAAAAUCUUUAAUCAGGGACGAAGAAAAUGACGGUACCUGAAGAAUAAGCUCCGGCUAACUACGUGCCAGCAGCCGCGGUAAUACGUAGGGAGCAAGCGUUAUCCGGAUUUACUGGGUGUAAAGGGCGUGUAGGCGGGCUUGCAAGUUGGAAGUGAAAUCUCGGGGCUUAACCCCGAAACUGCUUUCAAAACUGCGAGUCUUGAGUGAUGGAGAGGCAGGCGGAAUUCCCAGUGUAGCGGUGAAAUGCGUAGAUAUUGGGAGGAACACCAGUGGCGAAGGCGGCCUGCUGGACAUUAACUGACGCUGAGGCGCGAAAGCGUGGGGAGCAAACAGGAUUAGAUACCCCAGUAGUC
This 443-nucleotide ribosomal RNA is filed under the name Clostridioides difficile. RNAcentral describes it as "bacterial SSU rRNA". It matches the Rfam family "Bacterial small subunit ribosomal RNA", at positions 338 to 795 of the family's 1533-position model. The record is from RNAcentral. Lineage: Bacteria; Bacillati; Bacillota; Clostridia; Peptostreptococcales; Peptostreptococcaceae.